RNA transcript from Gossypium raimondii (Peruvian cotton), 3530 nucleotides. It is a transcript of the gene named putative protein FAR1-RELATED SEQUENCE 10, with no coding region annotated. NCBI's taxonomy places the organism in Eukaryota, Viridiplantae, Streptophyta, Magnoliopsida, Malvales, Malvaceae. The transcript is spliced from 7 exons. The record is from RefSeq and is a predicted model, not a curated record.
CCGGUAAUCUGCGAGGACUUUUUCAUAAUACGAGGGAAAAGGAAAAGAAAAAAGGUAGACCGCGAGCUGGGGACGCAGAAGAGCAAGCACAAGCACAAGAAGGCUUAAAGCACUUUACGAUUGUUUUAGUGUCCGUUGAUCUUCACUGCUUUAGCCAUUUUGUUAUGGUUUAUGCUGUCAGGUUUUGGGGGAGUCUAGGAUUGCAGUGACAUUGAUUGUACUUGCAUAUAUAUUUCAAAUUGAUUAUAUACAAUGGCAUCCGUUGCAUCGAAAAACAUGUGGCUAAGAAGGCAGCAAUGCCCAUGUGGUGACUGGAAAUGUUAUGUAAUAUAUGAAGGAGAUGCUGAAGAGACAUCCAUAGUAUCCCAGAUUGUAAAAACUGAAUCACUUCAGUCCCAAGACAUGGUUGCUCCUUAUGUUGGAAUGGUGUUUAAGACCGACGAUGAUGCUUUCGAGUAUUAUGGAAAUUUUGCUAGGAAAAAUGGGUUUUCCAUUAGGAAAGAGAGGUCCAGAUUGAGCCCCCAAUUGGGGAUUUAUAAGCGUGAUUUUGUUUGCUAUCGUUCCGGGUUUGCACCGGCAAGGAAAAAGCUUUCUGGAGAACACCAUAGAGAUAGGAAGUCUGUACGGUGUGGGUGUGAUGCUAAGAUGUACUUGUCCAAGGAAGUAAUAGAUGGGGUUUCUCAAUGGUUUGUUGUACAGUUUAGCAAUGUUCAUAAUCACGAGCUUUUAGAGGAUGACCAGGUCCGUCUCUUGCCUGCAUAUAGGAAGAUUAAUGAGGCAGAUCAAGAGAGAAUUUUACUACUUUCAAAAGCUGGGUUUCCUAUACAUCGUAUAGUGAAGGUUUUGGAGUUGGAAAAAGGCAUUCAAGGUGGGCAAUUGCCUUUUUUGGAGAGAGAUGUUAGGAAUUUUGUUCAAAACCGGAAGAAAGUGGUUCAAGAAAAUGAUGCUUUGCUCAAUGAGAAAAGAGAAAAUGAUACAAUGGAACUUCUUGAGGCAUGUAAAGCAACAAAAGAGGCUGAUCAAGAUUUUGUUUAUGAUUUUACAGUAGAUCAGAAUGAUAAGGUUGAGAACAUUGCUUGGUCAUAUGGUGUCGCUGUUAAUUCAUAUGCCUUGUUUGGUGAUGUUGUUUAUUUUGACACCACUUACAGAUCAAUCACAUAUGAUAUGCUUUUUGGGGCAUGGUUUGGAAUUGACAACAAUGGUCAACCAAUUUUCUUUGGUUGCGUUUUAUUGCAGGAUGAAACACUGCGCUCCUUUGCAUGGGCUAUACAGACGCUUAUCCGCUUCAUGAAAGGGAGAUGUCCACAGACAAUUUUAAGUGAUCUUGAUCCACGACUUAGAGAUGCUAUAACAAGUGAAUUACCGAGUACUAAACAUGUUACAUCUAUAUGGAACAUACUUCCAAAGGUAUCUAGCUGGUUCUCUCUUCAGCUUGGAUCUCAAUAUGCAGACUUUAAAUCAGAAUUUGAUGCAUUGUAUCGUCUGGAGAGUACAGAGGAUUUUGAGCUACGAUGGAAUCAAAUGGUUUCCAUAUUUGGACUUGGCUCAGAUAAACAUAUCACUUUACUCUACUCUCUUCGUACAUCUUGGGUGCUGUCAUAUGUGAGAGUUCAUUUUCUUGCUCGAAUGGCAACAACAGCCUAUUCAAAGUCUGUAGAUGCUUUCUUGAAAGGGAUCUUCGGUGCUCAAUCAUGUUUACGUGGAUUUUUUGAGCAGGUUGGUAUUGCAGCCAAUUUACAAAAUGAGCGACAUCAAGAGAUGCAGUGCCAGUAUCUGCAUAUGAAAACAUGCUUACCCAUUGAAGAGCAUUCACGGAAAAUUCUUACACCCUUUGCAUUCAAUGCUCUACAACAGGAAUUAAUAGUAAGCAUGCAGUAUGCUGCAUCUGAAAUGGCCAAUGGAUCAUAUCUUGUGCGUCAUUUCAGAAAGAUUGAUGGGGAAAGUCUUGUUAUAUGGAUUCCAGAAGAUGAACAGAUUCACUGUUCAUGUAAGGAGUUUGAGUCUUCUGGGAUAUUGUGCAGACAUGCUCUUCGUGUAUUUAUAGAUAAGAACUACUUUCAACUUCCUGAAAAGUACUUUCUAAGUAGAUGGCGAAGAGAAAGCUCUUUGAUGUUUUAUGAUGAUCAUUCUGUUCAUGAUAAAGAUGAUGAAUGGUUUCAAGAGUUCCAGUCCUUAACUGAAACUUUAUUUGCAGAAUCAUCAAUUACAAAAGAGCGCUCUGAUUAUAUUCGUAGGGAGCUGACAAAGGAACUUACAAGACUUCUCAAUGAGGUUAGAGAUAUGCCUGAAAAUGAUGGAGCACCCAUGGAUUUUACGCUUACACCAACUGAUUAGUUGCUGAUUAGUUAAAGCCGCUCUUCAGAGUAAAUAGAACCACCAGAUACUACAAUAACAAAAGUGAUAACCAAUUAAAAGUGUACCAUGAAGAUGAUCAUAUUGUAGUUGGCUCUCUUUCAAUUUCUACAUGCAAGUGGAAUGAAUGCUAUUUGAAAAUGAGUGAUAAUCUGAAGUAGAUACUGAAGAACAUAUUCUUGGAUGGCUUUUGACAAGUCAUUUUAAUUCCCUUCAGGAAAUAGACAAUGGAAUGUAGAUCAAAAUACAAGGAUGUGAACUUCCAUAUGGUAGUCUGCAAUGUGACAGUUUAUCCACUACAGAGAUGGUGAUUAAGAUGCAUGAUACACACAGAUUCGUUGCUCUCAGGAUGUAUAACGGGUUGAAGUUCAUUGAGCCUAUGUUACUUGGACUUGGUGUGAGUGUCCGCUACAGGUAUGUAUCCAUUUAUCCUGGUGGGAUUCAAUUUUUCUGGUUGAAAAUGUUGCAGGUCAAAAGAUGGGGAUACUAAUCUUCAGCAUCAGUGAUAAACCAUCGAAAGUUGGGUUAUCAUGUUCUAUAUGGUGCCACCAGUUUCAUCCCAGGCAGUUUCAGGUGAAAUUUGACAAACAUACACCAUCUGAUUGCAAGAAUAAUCUUUCUGAAUGAUGAUUGAAAAGCGGAUUGUCUCUGCCACCUGUAUGUUUUUAUAUCUGUUAGUGGUUUGGCUCAGCCUGACCUGAAUAGUUUUCUUGGCCCUGCACAAUCGAAGAGCCAACACGUUUUCACUAUCUAGACCCGCAUUACAUGCCUUUUAUGGAAAUGGCCAAUAUAGCAGGACUGAUGCUGCAACAAGCAUGCUCUAGUUGGCAAUGCUUCUCAUGAUGCCUGCCACUGUGUGAUCCUUCUAGACAAUCUCCCUUUCUCCAUAACUGGUCUGCCUUUGCAGGUAUGAAAUUGAAAUGAUUCAAUGUGAGUGUCAUGGCAUAAGGGUCCCUCGGCUGACAGCAGAGAUUGUCCACUAUAUUUUGCUAAAUAACAUAAAUAAUAAACAAAUAAAUGGAAAUGAAAGGUGCAUAGAUUUGUAGGCACAUGAUUGUGGGAAAUGUUGAAAUAUGUGAAACCCAUAUAUUUUGGGAUAUAUUUUAAAGUUAUUUAGGUAGAUAAAUCUUAUUUAGAUAGAUAAAUCUUAGAAUAAAUCGUUUGAGAUAUUCUAGGAA